UUCGGGUUAGUGGCGGACGGGUGAGUAACGCGUGAGAAUCUGCCCUCAGGAGGGGGAUAACAGCUGGAAACGGCUGCUAAUACCCCAUAUGCCGCGAGGUGAAAUGAAUUUCGCCUGAGGAUGAGCUCGCGUCUGAUUAGCUAGUUGGUGUAGGUAAUGGCUUACCAAGGCAUCGAUCAGUAGCUGGUCUGAGAGGAUGAUCAGCCACACUGGGACUGAGACACGGCCCAGACUCCUACGGGAGGCAGCAGUGGGGAAUUUUCCGCAAUGGGCGAAAGCCUGACGGAGCAACGCCGCGUGAGGGAUGAAGGCCUCUGGGCUGUAAACCUCUUUUAUCAAGGAAGAAGAUCUGACGGUACUUGAUGAAUAAGCCACGGCUAAUCCCGUGCCAGCAGCCGCGGUAAUACGGGAGUGGCAAGCGUUAUCCGGAAUUAUUGGGCGUAAAGCGUCCGCAGGCGGCCCUUCAAGUCUGCUGUUAAAAAGUGGAGCUUAACUCCAUCAUGGCAGUG
This 509-nucleotide ribosomal RNA is filed under the name uncultured cyanobacterium. RNAcentral describes it as "bacterial SSU rRNA". It matches the Rfam family "Bacterial small subunit ribosomal RNA", at positions 86 to 628 of the family's 1533-position model. Lineage: Bacteria; Bacillati; Cyanobacteriota. The record is from RNAcentral.